CGACAGCAAUAUGAAGGUCAGGCUGAAGACCUUACCCGAUUAGCUGAGAGGUGGUGCAUGGCCGUCGUCAGUUCGUACUGUGAAGCAUCCUGUUAAGUCAGGCAACGAGCGAGACCCACGUCCACAGUUGCCAGCAUACCCUCCGGGGUGAUGGGUACACUGUGGAGACCGCCGCUGCUAAAGCGGAGGAAGGAGUGGGCAACGGUAGGUCAGUAUGCCCCGAAUCUCCCGGGCUACACGCGGGCUACAAUGGUUGGUACAAUGGGCAUCUACCCUGAAAGGGGAAGGAAAUCUCUUAAAGCCAAUCGUAGUUCGGAUUGAGGGCUGCAACUCGCCCUCAUGAAGCUGGAAUCCGUAGUAAUCGCCGUUUCAACAGAACGCGGUGAAUACGUCCUGCUCCUU
Molecule: ribosomal RNA, 402 nt
Filed under: uncultured Methanosaeta sp.
Lineage: Archaea; Methanobacteriati; Methanobacteriota; Methanomicrobia; Methanotrichales; Methanotrichaceae
Description: bacterial SSU rRNA
Rfam family: Archaeal small subunit ribosomal RNA
Source: RNAcentral